Molecule: unclassified non-coding RNA, 200 nt
Filed under: Helotiales sp.
Lineage: Eukaryota; Fungi; Ascomycota; Leotiomycetes; Helotiales
Description: partial internal transcribed spacer 2
Source: RNAcentral
UUAAGUUCAGCGGGUAUCCCUACCUGAUCCGAGGUCAAACUAAAAAAGUUGGGGUUUCUGGCAAAUGUUCACCGGUCCCUAUAGCGAGGUUUUUACUGCGCUCAGGAGCCCGACGGCACCGCCACUAAUUUUAAGGCGCGCUGGGUAAGCAGCGGAGCCCAAUACCAAGCUAGGCUUGAGUGUUGUAAUGACGCUCGAAC